GAUCAUGGCUCAGGACGACGCUGGCGGCGUGCCUAAUACAUGCAAGUCGAGCGGACCAAAGGGAGCUUGCUCCUGGAGGUCAGCGGCGAACGGGUGAGUAACACGUGGGCAACCUGCCUGUAAGACUGGGAUAACAUCGAGAAAUCGGUGCUAAUACCGGAUAAUAAAAAGAACUGCAUGGUUCUUUUUUGAAAGAUGGUUUCGGCUAUCACUUACAGAUGGGCCCGCGGCGCAUUAGCUAGUUGGUGAGGUAACGGCUCACCAAGGCAACGAUGCGUAGCCGACCUGAGAGGGUGAUCGGCCACACUGGGACUGAGACACGGCCCAGACUCCUACGGGAGGCAGCAGUAGGGAAUCUUCCGCAAUGGACGAAAGUCUGACGGAGCAACGCCGCGUGAGUGAUGAAGGUUUUCGGAUCGUAAAACUCUGUUGUUAGGGAAGAACAAGUGCCGUUCGAAAGGGCGGCACCUUGACGGUACCUAACGAGAAAGCCACGGCUAACUACGUG
RNAcentral lists this ribosomal RNA (508 nucleotides) under uncultured bacterium. Its description in RNAcentral is "bacterial SSU rRNA". It matches the Rfam family "Bacterial small subunit ribosomal RNA", at positions 15 to 507 of the family's 1533-position model. The record is from RNAcentral.